UUUCUCAGUGUUUUGCAAGACGUCUUUAUUCAUUUCUUUGGCAGCACGAUACCAAGACAAUAACUAAUAAGUUCUACGGACUCGAGCGUUGGUUUCAUUUCUCAUAAUGAAUUCGGACGAAUUAGGAAGGAAUUAGCCAUUCAUUGCCUUUUCGAAGUAAACUCCCAGUUCUCUGCAGCAGAGACUGAAUACAACCAAGAAACUUAUCAGAAUAGGCGGUAUCGAACGGAGGACCUCCCUUAUACGAAGGUGUGACGGUCACUUGAGAGGCGAUGUGUCUCGUAGCAACAGAGGACGCUAGUCGCAAGGCCAGAGCUCCGUCCGCAUGGACACGAGUGGGCUGGCUCACCUGAGUCCGCUAAUUGCACACUGACAGUUGUGCUCCGGUCGGUGGAAUUGUAAUAGUGCAGUGUGUUCUGUGCACCAGGACGCCGUCAAAUGGAAGUGCCCGAAGCUUCCACCAAUGACAGUACUUUGAUGACAGGGACAGAUAAGCCUUCCAGUGGGAGUGAGUGGAUGCGGCGACAACGGACGAGACCCCCACCGGCACAGCCUGGAGAGAGGUAGGGACGAUGCUUGCGCUUGCGCAGGCCUCCGCCCUCAGUUAGCUUUUUGGUUGUGUCCAGUG
Molecule: non-coding RNA, 628 nt
Organism: Zootermopsis nevadensis
Lineage: Eukaryota; Metazoa; Arthropoda; Insecta; Blattodea; Termopsidae
Source: RefSeq, a predicted model, not a curated record